ACUCAUACUUUGCAGGGGAAAUACCAUGGUCAUGAAAGGGGUUUUCCCAGGGUGAGGCUCAUCCAUUGCACUUCAGGUGUGCUGAUCCCUGUGAUUUCCCCAAAUGUGGGGAACUCAACUGCAUAAUUUGUGGUAGUGGGGGAUUGCAUUUUUGCUUUCCCUGG
Molecule: small nuclear RNA, 164 nt
Organism: Pogona vitticeps (central bearded dragon)
Lineage: Eukaryota; Metazoa; Chordata; Lepidosauria; Squamata; Agamidae
Gene: U1
Rfam family: U1 spliceosomal RNA
About the family: U1 is a small nuclear RNA (snRNA) component of the spliceosome (involved in pre-mRNA splicing).
Source: Ensembl